This 63-nucleotide transfer RNA is filed under the name Haemaphysalis flava. RNAcentral describes it as "tRNA-Val". The record is from RNAcentral. Lineage: Eukaryota; Metazoa; Arthropoda; Arachnida; Ixodida; Ixodidae.
AAAAAUGAAAUCAUUUAGAUGUUUCACUUACAAUGAAAAUUUGUUUUUUUUUAACCAUUUUUA